AUAACUCAUUAUGUCACCCUAUUUAGGAUUGUCAAGUGAUAAUUCGAAUUAGUCGUUGUGCUACUGAGACUCCCUCGAGAAAUGGAUAAGUCCAAUUUAGGUCCUAGGCAUUUGAUUAAAUAGUUACCCGUUUAUGUUUUCCAUCAUUAUCAUGUAAUGCUGCAACCGUCACUUUGAACAGCCCACAUUUUCCUAUAAAAUCGGGAUCCAAGGAAACCGCUUCUUUUUCAUUCUCCCAUACUUAUUCAUUUUUCUCUAUUAUGGAUAAAGAUGGAUUUCGAAUCCAUACAGCUUUGUCGAUUCUUACUCAUAACCAACAUAAUGAACUAGUGAAAUCUUUCCACAUAGAUCCUCGAUUCCAUCCCCAACUUUCAUCUCCAAAUAAGACUAUCACCAAUCCUGCACUAGGCUAUGUUGGUAUGUAUUUGAUCUUUUUCAAAUCAGCUUUAUGACUUCCUUCUUUUCCUUUCUUGGGACCAUCCUUGAUUACCACAAGGUUCACAUUGCCCAAGUAAAUUUGAAUGGCUUCUAGAAGAUCAUGUGUUUUGUGCUACUAUGCAAAGUCCUAGACAUUCCUCCUUUACUAUCUAUUUUCCACUAUCUGGAUGUGCCUACGGUUACCAAGGAUUCGGUCUCUUUUCUCCUUCAUCAUAAUCAACAUAUGCGACAACCUUACCACAUCCAUCAAGAAGUGGAAAUAAGAUUUUUUCUUCAUUGAUGCUUCGGCUAUCGCCACGCGAAUGCAUUUUGGUGAUCUGGCAAACCGUCAUCCCGACCCUGCUCCUGAACUAACUGUCACAGAGCAUGAUGUGAAUAAGAGACUCAUCAUCAAUUACCUUGUUUGGUCUGGCCCUAAUGAGUUAUCCUUGGGUUUUAUUGAUUUAGAUAGCACUUACGGGGAUCAUGUUGUAGUUUCAGUACCCAAUUAGAGAGGGGUGAUAUUUUCUUGCUGGACAACUUCAUCGGAAGCAUCGGUCUAAAGGAGUAAAGGUGGGAAGUUCGUCCACUCCCAAAUCCGACCCAUUGUAUGAUGCAGAUGCAGGAGGUGAAACUGAGACGAACCUAGAUUAUGUCAUUCCGGACAGCCCGACGAAGUCCAUUGGUCUCACCCCUUUGUCAUCCCCAACGGUUACUCCAAACUCUUCAUCGAAAGGGGCUUCCAUUGCCGAUCCUACUGGGGCUCACAAGUGUAGAUUUCGACCUUCAGUUUCUUCCUCUACUAUUGGUAUUCCUCUCUUAUCUUCUCCUAAGAAAGCGUGUACUUCUUGUUCUUCCUCUAAUCGAGGCCUAGGGGUUACCGACACUACGUUUAACCUUCCACCAAUCACUUUUGCUUCGUCCGAUGAGGCUCUUCGCGAAUACUUGUUAACUUCUGAUCCUGUCUUAGUUUCCGUUCUAGAUUUAAUUUUAUCCUCUCCUGAGGCUCCUCCAACAUCUUCUGAAGCCAUAGUUUAUUCGACCCCGAUUUAAUUGGAUUCCUCAGUUAUUACUACUAAAUCAAUCACUAGUGGUUCAGCCACCAAGGUUAAUCCUCAUAUGAGUGAGCCUGUAAAGCUUCUUUUUCGUCAAAAGUUGUUCAACUCUUUUGCGCCCAAGCUUCUGCACCGACUUCUGCUCCCAUAGUUUCUACCGACACUUUAGUCAUUACUCUAGUUUUUCCUAUAUCCACCGAGACUCCAUCAGAUCCUGCUAAUGUUAUUAACCUAGACUCUCAGAUUCCUGAUGUGGAUACGAUGGAUUUUGAUUAUAACUGACCUCUCCUUGGUUCCUUCUCUUAUGAGCUUUUUCCUCCGCCAAAAACGGGAGCUACCCCGUUUUCUGUUCCAACAUCCCUGUCAGUUUUGGUGUCACUAUCCUCUUUGCUGACACCCUUCCUUUAUCCCUUUACUAGCACCAUGUUUUCCCAAUGUCCUUCCUUGGGAAACAUGACCAAUGAAUAGGGUAUUGAUAAGGCUCGUACCCAUAUCUAGGAGGGUAUGCAUUGGAUGAAUGAGGUUUCAUUGCGGAGCAAAGCUAGGGUUGCUGCCUCUGCUAUGCAGCGAAUUGAGAUUGAAAGGGCUUCCGAGCUUUUAAAAGAUCUUUGGGCAAAAUAUCAAGCUCUGGAGAGGGAAAAAUUUCGAGUUGGAUCAUUAUUCCCAACGCCAUGAAGAGCUUCUAAGGGUAAAUGUCGAGUUGAAGAACGUAAUAAGCAAAGAGAGUGCUUAUCGUGCUGCCCUGGCCACAAAAUUGGAAGAAAUUACCAAAAAGAACUCUGACUUGGGCUCGGUUUGUUUUGAGAAAGAAAUCCAAUUGGUCGGCUUAAGGAGUGUCUAACCGAGUGUCAACUUAAAUUUAAAGAUCAAACAACCAAUGCUGAAGAAUUAUAGACUGAAGCCUCUACUUCUAAACAAGAAGUCCUUUUUCACCAGCACCUGGCCGAGCAGAGAUCCAAAGAAUUUCAUUGGCUCUGAAGGAUAGCGAUAUCUACUUCGGUUCAAUAUUUGUUGAAAUCAUAAGAGUUUAGCAUGAUGAAUGUUGUUCUUCAAUCUGCUGCCGUCGAACUUGGCCUACACCAGGCUUCCCUUGAGAUGAAGAGAAGAUAAUCGGUGGAGCUUGAUGGAAAAGAGGUUUUGUACUCAUAUCUAAAUGUCAAAUAAGUUAUAUUGUAGUGCUUCUUUGAUCUUAACAAUUAUGACUAUCCUUACUUCAAAAUGCUAAAUACUGACAAUAUGGAUGUUGGUUUAUUGAAUAAACAUUUGGAGGAUUCUGACUCAGCUAUUGAUGCUGAUUCAUGUAUUUGCAUUAGUGUGAUUGAACUAAAUGUGCAUUUUUGUGUUGGUUAUCGCCUUCA
Molecule: long non-coding RNA, 2830 nt
Organism: Lactuca sativa (garden lettuce)
Lineage: Eukaryota; Viridiplantae; Streptophyta; Magnoliopsida; Asterales; Asteraceae
Source: RefSeq, a predicted model, not a curated record